UACGGAGGGUGCAAGCGUUAUCCGGAUUUACUGGGUUUAAAGGGUGCGUAGGUGGGUAGGCAAGUCAGUGGUGAAAUCUUCGGGCUUAACCCGGAAACUGCCAUUGAUACUAUUUAUCUUGAAUACUUUGGAGGUAAGCGGAAUAUGUCAUGUAGCGGUGAAAUGCUUAGAUAUGACAUAGAACACCAAUUGCGAAGGCAGCUGGCUACACGAAUAUUGACACUGAUGCACGAAAGCGUGGGGAUCAAACAGG
This 253-nucleotide ribosomal RNA is filed under the name uncultured bacterium. RNAcentral describes it as "partial 16S ribosomal RNA". It matches the Rfam family "Bacterial small subunit ribosomal RNA", at positions 524 to 776 of the family's 1533-position model. The record is from RNAcentral.